UUGGAUAUUGCGUGGGUUAGGGCCGGGAGCAGGGAAUUGGACGCCACCAAGGGAGAAAGAGAAAGAACCUACCAUCACUUUUCCGGUCGCCGCCUCUCCGGCUCCGAGGUUCUACAGAUAGGCCGAACCUUUAAUCAAGUUGCUUCGCUCGUCCAACGGUCCAAAUUCUUCCAAGUGCUCGCCCGUGCCAGUACAACUUAUACUGCUUCAGGCGACAGCUCCAUCUCUCCGUUCGGAUCAUCAUCUAUAGUGCGCCGAAGUAGAAGACAGCUCUCCAAGGCACAAGGAUUGUUUAGGGUUUUGUGUGUGAAGAGAGAUGGGAGAAGAAGAGUUAUGGUGCGUGGUGACUGGGGGCAGAGGCUUUUCUGCGAGGCAUUUGGUGGAAAUGCUCAUCCGGUACGACAUGUACUCGGUUCGUAUUGUUGAUUUAGGUCCUUCAAUCAAACUUGAUCCCGCCGAAGAGAAGGGAAUCCUUGGCGAAGCUUUGAGGUCCGGCCGGGCUCAGUACGUGUCCGCCGAUCUCCGUGACAAGUCCCAAGUGCUUAAAGCUUGCGACGGAGCUGAUGUUGUUUUCCACAUGGCUGCUCCUGAUUCAUCCAUCAACAACCAUGAGCUCCAUCAUUCAGUUAAUGUGAAAGGAACAAGGAAUAUAAUUGAUGCUUGUAUAGAACUCAAAAUUAAGAGACUUAUAUAUACCAGCUCUGCUAGUGUGGUUUUUGAUGGAGUUCACGGAAUUUUUAAUGGCGAUGAAUCAUUGGCAUAUCCAGCUAAGCACAACGAUUCAUAUUCUGCUACCAAAGCUGAAGGAGAAGCACUGGUCAUCAAAUCAAAUGGUAGGAAUGGGCUUUUAACUUGUUGCAUCCGCCCCAGCAGCAUUUUUGGUCCUGGUGACAAAUUACUUGUUCCAUCUUUGGUGUCUGCUGCUAGGGCAGGCAAAUUGAAGUUUCUAAUUGGUGAUGGGAAUAACAUGUACGAUUUUACUUAUGUUGAAAAUGUGGCACAUGCUCAUAUAUGUGCGGAACGAGCUCUUGCAUCAGGAGGCACAGUUGCAGAGAGAGCUGCGGGGGAGGCAUUUUUUAUAACUAAUAGGGAGCCGAUCAAGUUUUGGGAGUUUGUGUCACUUGUUCUUGAAGGCCUUGGCUAUGAUAGGCCAAGAAUUAAGGUUCCAGUUUUCUUGAUAAUGCCAAUUGCACGUCUGGUGGAGUGGACAUAUAGGCUGUUAGCCCCAUAUGGCAUGAAGGUUCCACAGUUUACACCAUCAAGAGUCAGACUUCUCUCUUGCAGCAGAACAUUCAACUGUUCAAAAGCCAAUGACCGACUCGGCUACACUCCUCUUGUGCCACUUCAGGAGGGUCUCAAGAGGACAAUUGACUCAAAUUCACACUUGAGGGCUGUAUCUCAACCUAAGAAGGAUGGACCAUCAAAAGCUUUCUUGCGUCUUGGAGGAGGAAUGGUUGCUGACAUACUUCUCUGGAAGGAUAAAAAGCAGACGCUCGCCACCAUUAUCAUUCUCAUUUCAAUUUACUUCAACUUUGUGGCAUCUGGAUGCACCAUCAUCACUGCAGUUUCCAAGCUCCUCCUGGUGGCUUGUGUUUUUCUGUUCAUACAUGGAAUAUUACCUAAGAAGAUAUUUGGAUAUACAAUCGAGAAAAUUCCAGGAUCAUAUUUCCACUUGACAGAAGAGAUGUCACACCAAGUUGCUCUGUCAGUGGCCUCCUCAUGGAAUUCUUCGGUACAUUGUUUAAAAUCUCUUUGCAAAGGGAAUGACUGGCUGCUAUUCAUGAAGGUGGGUUUCUCUCUAUUGAUUAUCAGCUUCCUUGGUGCCAUAUCACUGCAGAAUUUGUUUAUCAUAGGACUUCCGAUUGCAUUUGUUGCUUUCUUGGUUUACGAGAAAAAGGAAGAAGAGAUAGAUAAUCUGGCCUCCAAACUUUCCUCAUUUGGAUGCAAUUUAAAAUCUGAUGCUGCCAGAAAGCUCCUCAACUCUAAGAAGAUUCAGUAACAGGAGAUACUUGACAUCUUGUGCAGGUUACUGGAAACGGAAUGUUUACUUACCACCCAACCCAUGUCUUCAAUGAUCCAAUUGCUCGCCGGAGCUUCCACCAGUUUUUUGGGCAUAUGAUUUCAAUGUUUUGGUUGGUUUGUUUCCUAAGAUUUUUAUAUUGUAUUUGUUGUUGUUGUUGUUGUUUCAAGCGUUCUUAAACCUCUUGCUAGUUAAAUUGGUCAAGACUUGCCCCUUUUCGCGCUUCGUGUCUUCUCCUGUUUCAUUUUCCUCGGUUCUUUUUUCGGUUUGUGCAGAAGAUCAUGCUACUGUGGUCUUCCAAGCUUUGUCUGGUUCUUGUUGUGAAUAUGGCAAUGCUCUUCUGCCCUCGGACUGAUUUAGGCCCAUCAGGUAUUCACCUACCUAUGCAACAUGUGUGUUGGGGGGGUGGUUGUUCGUUCUGCCAUGGGAGUGAAGAAAUAAAAAAAAUGCAAUUCUUAAGUAAAACAUUAUGUUGGGGUUAGUUAUUAUAACAUGUGAAAUGAUCUUUAUUUUUUGAGAAUGAAGUCAUUUACAAUAAUAAAUUAAUUUGUAUUUAAAACAACGUUGUUAAGGUGCCAUGUGGCAUAAUAA
Molecule: RNA transcript, 2611 nt
Organism: Diospyros lotus (date-plum)
Lineage: Eukaryota; Viridiplantae; Streptophyta; Magnoliopsida; Ericales; Ebenaceae
Gene name: 3beta-hydroxysteroid-dehydrogenase/decarboxylase
Exons: 15
Source: RefSeq, a predicted model, not a curated record